RNAcentral lists this ribosomal RNA (2053 nucleotides) under Triticum aestivum (bread wheat). RNAcentral's name for it is "partial small subunit ribosomal RNA". The record is from RNAcentral. Lineage: Eukaryota; Viridiplantae; Streptophyta; Magnoliopsida; Poales; Poaceae.
CGGCGCACAGGGCCCCGGUCGACAUGGGUGCGGUGUUAUGGUAGUUGGCGGGGCCGGGGAAGGGAACGACCCGACCUUGGGCAAUGUUGGCCGCUGUGGGCCAGUGGGGCCGGAGGGCAGGGUCCAUAUAUAGGGUGGGGACGGGGGAGGCGAGGGGGAGUGAGGAGGGGAGACAGAGGAAGGAGGUGUGGGGUAGGGUAGGGUGAUGGUGGUUCCCUCAACUAAUAGUCUAGCCAUUGGAGUGAGCGAUGAGCAUCGCCAAUGGUGUGUAGCUAGCUGGCUCCUAGAUGGCCGCCGGUACCGCCGCACGUCUCGUCCUCCUCCGCCCCCGCCGUCCCUGCACCUGGCCUAGUUCCCGGGCACCUCGGGGCUCCUCCUGCUGCGCGACGUCGCCGACCACCCCGCGGUGCCGCGCGCGUUGACCAGGGAGUAGUCGUUCAGGUAGGGCCCCGCCAGGCCGUUCAGGACGGCGGAGGCGACCACGUUGGUCGAGAGCGGCGUCCACCUCGUGGCGGGGAAGUGGGGGCUGCUCCUGCUGUGGUAGGAGGCGCGGGUGCGGUCCAAGCCGUUGUUCACCCGGUGGUAGCGGGCGGAGGAGAGGCCGGCGUGGCUGUUGCGGUAGUUCUUGGUGACCUUGAGGUGCGAGUUCGCGUUCAUGAGGAGGAGGAGGAGCUGUAGCCGGAGCCGUAGUCGUAGCGGCCGACUGCUGCGGUACCGUUUGCUGCUGCUGCUGGCGGCCGGCGACUUCGCCUGGUCGUCGCUGCCCAUGGGCCCCGAGACGAAGUCGGGGCCCUCGGGCAGCCCCAGACUGGAGUCGCUGAGGUCGGUGGUCUCGGAGGGGAGGCAGUACGGCAGGCGGCGGAGCGUCGUCGGUGUGCACAUGGCGGGCCACCGCGCCCGGCCGCCCCACCAGCACGAGGGCUGCCGGUGCGGAGUCGACGGCGUCGGCAGGGGAGGCAGAGGCGGCGGCGGGGGAGGAGGAGGCCGCUGCAGCGAGAGCGAGAGGGACAGGGACGGACCGAACCUACGCGGGCUCGGUCGGGGCCACCGCGUCCGCGUCGGGUACAGGUACGGUGGUGGAGGACGAGUACACGGACAUGUCGGGCGGCGUCGCGGAGUCUACGGCGGCGGGUACGGCAAGGUCGAGGUCGGCGGCGGCCAGGGUGUUCGUGCCCGCCGCCGCGGGAAGUUGCCCCUCAAGGACAGCUACUACGUCCUCUACUAGGCCUAGCUCCAGGCCUUGAUGUACAGGCCGAAGCUGGGGGCCAGUAGCGGCCGGCUGCCGCAGGUGCGGCGGUUCGCGUACUACUCGUACCGGUUCUAGCUCAUCGUUCGUUCGUUCGUUCUUCGUCCUUCUACUCAGACAGACGAGGUGAGUUUCUCGGUUACUUAAUUAGUUCCCUGCGGUUCUUUGUUUGCCUUCCGUCUCCGCCGUUCACUUUACUUCUCCUCUACUUCGCUUCGAGCCGCCGGGCAAAUCUAGAAGAACGGGCUGUUAUUAAGGGAUCAUUUUACAGAGCUAAUCAAAAAAAGAAGGGAAGGAAGGAGUUUCAAGGAAGCUUCUAGCAGGCUAGCUAAGUACAAAGGCAAGAAGUCUCUGCUCUGCUCUGCUUCUUUUGGAGCAGCGAUCGCACCGUUUAUUUGAUCCGUCCCGUCCCGUCUCGUAUCGUUUGUACAACGAACGACCUAGCGAGGUCUCAAGAAAAAACAUAUCUCUUUCCCUUUUCUUCUUUACUUUGCUCUACCCCCUUUACUCUCCGGCUCAAGCACCUAGCUAGUGUAGACGACGAAGUUAAAAUGAUCAUUGAUGAGAUGUAUCAGCAAAGCAAAAACCACGAUCAUCAUCCACGUGUAAAGACAAAACGCAACCGACAAAACACCAACCUCACGGACCAAACCCCUCGUCUCCCUCUUCCCGCUUUGCCUUAAUACCACCCUCCCUAGCUAGCCGUCACCUCUUACCCGCUCGCUGUCGAUUGACGGACGGACAACGCGUGGAGGAGAGAGAGAGGAGGAAAGUUCAAAUAAAUGACUCCUCCUAACUAUAAUAAAC